RNAcentral lists this transfer RNA (67 nucleotides) under Xenorhabdus bovienii str. kraussei Quebec. RNAcentral's name for it is "Pseudo tRNA". The record is from RNAcentral. Lineage: Bacteria; Pseudomonadati; Pseudomonadota; Gammaproteobacteria; Enterobacterales; Morganellaceae.
GGACUGAGUUGGUAGAGCACAACCUUGCCAAAGUUGGGGUCGAGAGUUCGAAUCUCGUUUCCCUCCA